GGGUUGUGAGGUUAAGCGACUAAGCGUACACGGUGGAUGCCCUGGCAGUCAGAGGCGAUGAAGGACGUGCUAAUCUGCGAUAAGCGUCGGUGAGGUGAUAUGAACCGUUAUAACCGGCGAUUUCCGAAUGGGGAAACCCAGUGUGAUUCGUCACACUAUCAUUAACUGAAUCCAUAGGUUAAUGAGGCGAACCGGGGGAACUGAAACAUCUAAGUACCCCGAGGAAAAGAAAUCAACCGAGAUUCCCCCAGUAGCGGCGAGCGAACGGGGAGCAGCCCAGAGCCUGAAUCAGUGUGUGUGUUAGUGGAAGCGUCUGGAAAGGCGCGCGAUACAGGGUGACAGCCCCGUACACAAAAAUGCACAUACUGUGAGCUCGAUGAGUAGGGCGGGACACGUGGUAUCCUGUCUGAAUAUGGGGGGACCAUCCUCCAAGGCUAAAUACUCCUGACUGACCGAUAGUGAACCAGUACCGUGAGGGAAAGGCGAAAAGAACCCCGGCGAGGGGAGUGAAAAAGAACCUGAAACCGUGUACGUACAAGCAGUGGGAGCACGCUUCGGCGUGUGACUGCGUACCUUUUGUAUAAUGGGUCAGCGACUUAUAUUCUGUAGCAAGGUUAACCGAAUAGGGGAGCCGAAGGGAAACCGAGUCUUAACUGGGCGUUAAGUUGCAGGGUAUAGACCCGAAACCCGGUGAUCUAGCCAUGGGCAGGUUGAAGGUUGGGUAACACUAACUGGAGGACCGAACCGACUAAUGUUGAAAAAUUAGCGGAUGACUUGUGGCUGGGGGUGAAAGGCCAAUCAAACCGGGAGAUAGCUGGUUCUCCCCGAAAGCUAUUUAGGUAGCGCCUCGUGAAUUCAUCUCCGGGGGUAGAGCACUGUUUCGGCAAGGGGGUCAUCCCGACUUACCAACCCGAUGCAAACUGCGAAUACCGGAGAAUGUUAUCACGGGAGACACACGGCGGGUGCUAACGUCCGUCGUGAAGAGGGAAACAACCCAGACCGCCAGCUAAGGUCCCAAAGUCAUGGUUAAGUGGGAAACGAUGUGGGAAGGCCCAGACAGCCAGGAUGUUGGCUUAGAAGCAGCCAUCAUUUAAAGAAAGCGUAAUAGCUCACUGGUCGAGUCGGCCUGCGCGGAAGAUGUAACGGGGCUAAACCAUGCACCGAAGCUGCGGCAGCGACGCUUAUGCGUUGUUGGGUAGGGGAGCGUUCUGUAAGCCUGUGAAGGUGUACUGUGAGGUAUGCUGGAGGUAUCAGAAGUGCGAAUGCUGACAUAAGUAACGAUAAAGCGGGUGAAAAGCCCGCUCGCCGGAAGACCAAGGGUUCCUGUCCAACGUUAAUCGGGGCAGGGUGAGUCGACCCCUAAGGCGAGGCCGAAAGGCGUAGUCGAUGGGAAACAGGUUAAUAUUCCUGUACUUGGUGUUACUGCGAAGGGGGGACGGAGAAGGCUAUGUUGGCCGGGCGACGGUUGUCCCGGUUUAAGCGUGUAGGCUGGUUUUCCAGGCAAAUCCGGAAAAUCAAGGCUGAGGCGUGAUGACGAGGCACUACGGUGCUGAAGCAACAAAUGCCCUGCUUCCAGGAAAAGCCUCUAAGCAUCAGGUAACAUUAAAUCGUACCCCAAACCGACACAGGUGGUCAGGUAGAGAAUACCAAGGCGCUUGAGAGAACUCGGGUGAAGGAACUAGGCAAAAUGGUGCCGUAACUUCGGGAGAAGGCACGCUGAUACGUAGGUGAAGUCCCUCGCGGAUGGAGCUGAAAUCAGUCGAAGAUACCAGCUGGCUGCAACUGUUUAUUAAAAACACAGCACUGUGCAAACACGAAAGUGGACGUAUACGGUGUGACGCCUGCCCGGUGCCGGAAGGUUAAUUGAUGGGGUCAGCGCAAGCGAAGCUCUUGAUCGAAGCCCCGGUAAACGGCGGCCGUAACUAUAACGGUCCUAAGGUAGCGAAAUUCCUUGUCGGGUAAGUUCCGACCUGCACGAAUGGCGUAAUGAUGGCCAGGCUGUCUCCACCCGAGACUCAGUGAAAUUGAACUCGCUGUGAAGAUGCAGUGUACCCGCGGCAAGACGGAAAGACCCCGUGAACCUUUACUAUAGCUUGACACUGAACAUUGAGCCUUGAUGUGUAGGAUAGGUGGGAGGCUUUGAAGUGUGGACGCCAGUCUGCAUGGAGCCGACCUUGAAAUACCACCCUUUAAUGUUUGAUGUUCUAACGUAGACCCGUGAUCCGGGUUGCGGACAGUGUCUGGUGGGUAGUUUGACUGGGGCGGUCUCCUCCUAAAGAGUAACGGAGGAGCACGAAGGUUGGCUAAUCCUGGUCGGACAUCAGGAGGUUAGUGCAAUGGCAUAAGCCAGCUUGACUGCGAGCGUGACGGCGCGAGCAGGUGCGAAAGCAGGUCAUAGUGAUCCGGUGGUUCUGAAUGGAAGGGCCAUCGCUCAACGGAUAAAAGGUACUCCGGGGAUAACAGGCUGAUACCGCCCAAGAGUUCAUAUCGACGGCGGUGUUUGGCACCUCGAUGUCGGCUCAUCACAUCCUGGGGCUGAAGUAGGUCCCAAGGGUAUGGCUGUUCGCCAUUUAAAGUGGUACGCGAGCUGGGUUUAGAACGUCGUGAGACAGUUCGGUCCCUAUCUGCCGUGGGCGCUGGAGAACUGAGGGGGGCUGCUCCUAGUACGAGAGGACCGGAGUGGACGCAUCACUGGUGUUCGGGUUGUCAUGCCAAUGGCACUGCCCGGUAGCUAAAUGCGGAAGAGAUAAGUGCUGAAAGCAUCUAAGCACGAAACUUGCCCCGAGAUGAGUUCUCCCUGACCCUUUAAGGGUCCUGAAGGAACGUUGAAGACGACGACGUUGAUAGGCCGGGUGUGUAAGCGCAGCGAUGCGUUGAGCUAACCGGUACUAAUGAACCGUGAGGCUUAACCUUACAACGCCGAAGGUGUUU
This 2931-nucleotide ribosomal RNA is filed under the name Escherichia coli. RNAcentral's name for it is "23S ribosomal RNA". It matches the Rfam family "Bacterial large subunit ribosomal RNA". Lineage: Bacteria; Pseudomonadati; Pseudomonadota; Gammaproteobacteria; Enterobacterales; Enterobacteriaceae. The record is from RNAcentral.